CCUACGGGAGGCAGCAGUGAGGAAUAUUGGUCAAUGGCCGGAAGGCUGAACCAGCCAAGUAGCGGGAGGGAAGACUGCCCUAUGGGUUGUAAACCUCUUUUAUGCGGGGAUAAAGGUGUCCACGUGUGGAUGUUUGCAGGUACCGCAUGAAUAAGGACCGGCUAAUUCCGUGCCAGCAGCCGCGGUAAUACGGAAGGUCCGGGCGUUAUCCGGAUUUAUUGGGUUUAAAGGGAGCGUAGGCCGGUCUUUAAGCGUGCCGGGAAAUUUUGUGGCUCAACCAUGGGAGUGCGGCGCGAACUGGAGACCUUGAGUGCGCGGAAGGCAGGCGGAAUUCGUGGUGUAGCGGUGAAAUGCUUAGAUAUCACGAAGAACCCCGAUUGCGAAGGCAGCCUGCCGCAGCGUUACUGACGCUGAAGCUCGAAAGCGCGGGUAUCGAACAGGAUUAGAUACCCGUGUAGUC
This 460-nucleotide ribosomal RNA is filed under the name uncultured bacterium. RNAcentral describes it as "partial 16S ribosomal RNA". It matches the Rfam family "Bacterial small subunit ribosomal RNA", at positions 338 to 795 of the family's 1533-position model. The record is from RNAcentral.